AGUCAAUAGAUACCCGGGUAGUCCACGCCGUAAACGAUGAGUACUAGGUGUAGGAGGUAUCGACUCCUUCUGUGCCGCAGUUAAACACAAUAAGUACUCCGCCUGGGAAGUACGGUCGCAAGAUUAAAACUCAAAGGAAUUGACGGGGGCCCGCACAAGCAGCGGAGCAUGUGGUUUAAUUCGAAGCAACGCGAAGAACCUUACCUAGACUUGACAUCUCCUGAAUAGUGUAGAGAUACAUGAAGCCCUUCGGGGCAGGAAGACAGGUGGUGCAUGGUUGUCGUCAGCUCGUGUCGUGAGAUGUUGGGUUAAGUCCCGCAACGAGCGCAACCCUUAUUACUAGUUGCUACCAUUAAGUUGAGCACUCUAGUGAGACUGCCCGGGUUAACCGGGACGGAAGGCGGGGAGUGACGUCAAAUCAUCAUGCCCCUUACUGUCUAGGCGAACACACGUGCUACAAUGUGAGUACAGAUAGAUGCGAUACGCAAGGUGGAGGCCAAACUCUAAAACUACAU
RNAcentral lists this ribosomal RNA (515 nucleotides) under uncultured bacterium. RNAcentral's name for it is "bacterial SSU rRNA". It matches the Rfam family "Bacterial small subunit ribosomal RNA", at positions 775 to 1287 of the family's 1533-position model. The record is from RNAcentral.